CUAUUUAAGGGCUGACUGCCACUGAGGAAGGAUCUCUCUAGAGAUCACUCUUCUUGAAGUCUUUUUUUUGUGACCCCAGGACAUAGGUAAGCCUUCCAUUCAUUCCUGAUUAUCUGUCUCUAACACAAUCUUUCCAACCUAACUUCUCUGUAUACUUAUUGAUUAUACAUCUGUAUGCUCAUCGUUUAUACACUCUGGAACUGGGAAGUUCUCUCUUUUGUUUUCCAUAUGCUAUUGAAUGCUGAUCCUGUUGCUGAGCCUCACAUGUUCCCUUCUCACCCUGCUCCUUUCUCAGGGAUCCCUGUGGUAUCAUUAAUGUCACUGUUUCAGACAGGCAUAUUCAGAUUAAUAUUUGUAUUUGUUUAUGCUGACCCUAUAACAUUCACUGGCUGGUCAUGGUCCCAUGCCCAUAUUGGGCAUGCUGGAUGUAUGGGACUGAAUUCUAAUUCUAACUGAGGCUUAACCCUUUCCACCAUGGUUAACCACAGUCCUGAAAUAUAUUCAGGAAGUGAAUGGGGCCAGGAUAGUACUGGCAACUCUGGGGAGAUUAGAACAAAGAAUAAAAGUAGGGUGUCAAAUGAGUGAUCUAUAUGCACUGCAACAACUCUGCAGUUUUCCUUAUCAGCACUGAGAACCAAUCAGUGGUUCUUAUCUAAUGUAUUAUCUCAGUGGGAAAGAGCUAAUAUAAAAGACCACCAGUUAAUUGUACAUGCACUUGUCAAACUCAAUGUCUUCCUAGCUCUUCUGUGCAAAAGGUAAAGGAAAUACUUUAUUCACUGAAAUUUGAAAGGUGAGCUGGGACAAUGCAAACACAUUUGAAAGAGAAUUUCAGUCUUGGUAGUGUCUAGUUAAUUUUACUUAUGAUCCUGUUAAUAACAAUAAGCAAUGCUUUGGUACAUACUGUAUAGCCAAUCAUUGUGCAGGGACUGAAUCGCAAUGGGGUUAUGCUCUACCCAUUAGAACAGAGUAUGGGCCCAAUAAAAUGGAAACUAGUGGUGAACUAUUGAUGUUAGUUCAUGUGCUGUAUGGGAACAAAAAGGAUUUAUUUUGAGAGUAAUACCAUCAAGACUCAAGACAUUUGUCUUGACUCUGAGUAAAGUAUUUCUCACUUUAGAGGUAUCGCAAUGAGACUCCUGAAAUGGUGCUCACCUAUAUUGGAAAAGGAUGUGUGUGUAGGAGAACCUCUCACAAUUUUAUACUGAUAGGUAUUAUUACUGUAGAUACAAGCAAACAUUUGAAUGUUUGUAACUUUACUAACGUUAUGGGAUGUGACUCUAGUUAUUCAGUUCCAGUUAUGUCCUAUCAGUUGCUGUGGUCCAAUUAUACAUCAAUCCAAGACUUGUCUCCUGUCCCACUUGGAAUGAAUACUCGGUAAAGAAAUUACAAUGUGACAAUCUGUACCAGCUGCUAGACUGCAUCCAAGAUAACGGACAAACUUAGAUUACUGUUAUCCAUGAUAUGGAGGAGAUGUGCCAUGUUCUGGAAAGGGUGAAGAAGGAUGGAGAACACCGCUGAUGGGAAAUAAUCCUUGGAUGGUCACCAACAGCAAGAGGAGUUUUUAAUUCUGUACUUCACCCAGAUGUGAUCAUAUUAAUCAUAACGCUGUGUAUUGGUUGUAAUAAUAUUGUAUAUGAAAGUCUGACUGACUCGGCUCGAAUUACCCAAGGAGUCUGAAAGUUGUCCCAGGUAUUAAAUUACUUUUCCUAGCCUCAUGGUGAUCCAUGAAUAAGGUGAGUUCCAUUAUGUAAAGUGGCAGCACUCACAUUUUUUUUUUCCUUUGAGUUUGUGUUAUUUUUACAAUGUAUAUUUUCCUUCUCCCCUCAUUCCCCUUAAUGCUUUUUUCUUGAAACAACCAUGGGACAGUGACAAUAAGCUUUGCAUGCUGGGUGGUGUGAGAAGAGAGAACAAUGCUUGGCUCAAAGCUUGUUCAGAGGCAACCAUCUGAUACAUGAGAAACUGGAGAAUGCUUGGUUCAAAGCCUGUUUAAUGGUGUCCAUCCAAGGCAUGACCUGCCCAACAAGUUUUUGACAUAAAUGGUUGACUACCAUGAGCACAGAGGAGAGGUGCCUGAAGACUGGAGGAUAGCUGAUGUUACAGCUUGUUCUGGGUGUCAUCUCCAAGUGACUUGAAGAGGAGUUUAUAAGGUGCAGGUCUGGAGAGCAGCUCUUCUGUGCUGGAGUUUGGGGUCCAGCUCUGGUGAAGGAGCAGAGGUAACAGCUGAAUUUCUGCACAAUGGCCUUGCUCGACUGUGGUAGUUUCCCCAGCUUGAAGAUAAGUGUGCUAUCCUGAGAGAGGAGUGGCAUUGACUGCAACAAACUUCUGGCUUCCUUUUUUAAGCUGAGACUGCUGAGAAUUGUAUCUGGUUUCUCGCUUGGUAACUCAGGAGCAUGUGUCUUGGUGAAACCCUUUGUGUUGAACCUCUGAGUGAGUUCCUGGGAACCUUCCUCCCAAACUGAGACUGAACUGUAGCAAAAAUGACUAAUAAGUUAUACUCUGCAUUUGCUCCUUAACAAAAGACAAGGAACUUCACUGGGGUGAUGCCUUUGCAUUAAAUGUUUGUGUGCAGUAUAUUGUAUCUUAAUGUGAGUUUGAAGUUACUAAUAACCUUUGGAUCAUUAACUAAUUAAAAGCAGUUCUGCUGUGAUUGAAGUGCAACAGCAGCAGUGCAGGAUAGAAAAUUGAGCUCAUUUAGGUAGAUAUGAUACUGCUUUUGUCAUGACUUGACUUCAACAGCACCUCAGUGAGUUAUGAGGUUGACUAAUUAGUGCAAGCAUGUCUGCUGGUGAUUAACCUGUUGCUCCUGGUGAUAACAGGACAUAGCUUUUCUCCAGCUUUUUUUAGACAUCUCCAGAGGGAUGUCUAAAAUAUAUAUUACUAAGAUUGAGAGUACACAAACUCAGUGAAAUGUCUAUUUUGCACAGAGUAGGAAUGCACUUGGGGUUGGAAGGGACCUAUGACUAUUACCUCUGUGUGAGACCACCUGAACUUCAAGUGCUACUUCCAGGAGAAGCAUCCAAAUGUUUCUCAAACUUGAUCAGCCUGGGCCUGUAACUGUUGCCCUGAGGAGCUUGUUCUAUUACCUAACCACCAUCUGGUAAAGGAACUUGCAUAAUCUCCAGUGUGGCUUAAUACACAUAAGUUCCUUGCCCUGGCCAGUUGUAGAAAUACUGAAGAACUGAACCGAAGCCCUGUGGACUCUGAGUGAUGCUGGCCUCCAUGCUCUUAUUUAUUCUAACAAACAAAAAUCUGACCUUUGUUCUUUUAUUGUUUAUACUGAACACCAAUCCCUUGUUGCACAUGAGGAACGCAAGGAAGCUCUAACCUUCUCCAAUUUCUACACUCACUUGCACGAAUCAUAGCCAUAGUUAUUUCCCUUCCAUAUCAUCUUGGGUUACUGUGCUGAGAAAACAAAUCCCUUCCCCCAGCCUACAUGCUUUGUGACAAACCAUGGGGCUUCUUUUUAAAUAGAAAUAGCAGUAAAAAUAAACCAUACAGGGAUAAGAGGAGGUCUUUUAAACUUGAUGUGAUUCAGCUAAACUUGAUGUGAUUCAGCUGUUCUCAGGGGGUCAUAGGUUCUUUUGUUGUUAAGUACAUAAAAAAGUAGUAGAAGCAGGAAAACUAAGCAAAAGCACAGGAGAAUGGGUUCAACAACCUCCAAAGAAGAAAAGUGAGCUCACUUGUUGGUACUGCUGGGGAAGACAGUUGUGGAGAUGGUUGGGCUGAUACCCUUUCAUUUUGUUUUUAGUAAUAUUUAAAGUAGGAUGAUCAAACAGAAAUGUACAUCCCUAAAGUCAUCCUCUGACUCUCUGAACCCUCUUCUCCGUUGCUUACACUGAGAUAGGAGGCCAAAUCUGAAGUUUUACUUAGAAAAGACACAGGAAGAACUUGCUUGGUUCCGAGACAUGGCAGCUAUCUAGCUCUUAAAGGAAACUUAAUUGCCAUUCUCAAGAAAUAACUGGUUUCCAACCAAGCUGACUUCCAGAUGCAAGUUCACAAUGGCAAUUUUUUUCCCCUUCAACUCAGAGUAUUUCAGAGUAUUUACACUCUUGUGUAUAUUAAAAAAAAUUAUCUAGGAAAUAGCUUUUUUGGCAACCCAAAUUGUUAACUUCACAUUAUGUUCUCUGCUCAGAAAAGCCCUAGUUCUAUUUACCCCACAGACAGUUCACAUAAUUAAGAAGGCCCACUGGCAUAAAGAAUUUCAGUAGUUUUGGGAAAGGUGAAUUUGCCUUGAAGAUUUUUCAGGGAUUGCAAGACUAAGCUUGUUUCCCCCUUUCCACAGGAUUUGCUUACAGUUGGACUGACCUCCUCCCUUCACAGUGACACUCUGAAUAACUCUGUGCUCAGAUCAGCAAUUAAUAAUGUCAUUGUGCUAUCCCAUCCUACCAGAACUCUUUGCUCUGGAAAGCAAUUGCAUUUUUCAGACAGCAUAUAUUGUUUUAUAGGAACAAAGUAUGCAGAGUCCCUGUAAAGUGCAAAGCAUGCUGGAAGCAGCUGUUUCCACAGAGGCAGCUUCUCUGCUGAGACUUGAAAGAAGUUCUCUGUAAGUUACCUGCAUCUGAGCAAUUGUUUCUGAGAAGCACAUAGAAUCCAAAAGACAAUAAACAACGAAGAAGAAACCUCCAGAAGAAAACAAGUUCCAAUAUUAAAAGCCCCAUCGUUAUGAAAAUCUGCAACGAGGGGGAAUAAUGCCAGCCAAGCAGCGUAAUGUCUCACAGGUUCUGUUUCUGCAGCAUUUGAUAUGCUUCACAGCUUUCACUUAACUCAGACAGAGGAGGCUAAUUAUGAAAUUACUACAUAAAAUAGAGUACAGCACUCAAUGCGCAGAAGAAAAAAAAAAUUUAUUCUCAAAUGUGAAUUAGAAAGGAGUGUGAAAGGAGGUCUUUAAGGACACCUUUCUGAGAACACGGGAGUUCUCCAGCCCCCAGCAGUUUAGAUGAAACUGAACUCAGCAGAAGAUUUAAAAACACAAAAAAUAGAUAGGAAGGGAUUUCUGCAAACACAUUGCUCGGAAGAGAAUGGGCAAGGAAAGUGUUCUCACUCUCAUAAGUGAGAAAAGGCAAUAACAGACAUAGGGAAGGCUGAGGUGCUCAGUGUUCUUCAACUCAAUUUUUGCUGGUGGUCAGGAUUUCCAUAUCUCUCGUGUCCCUAGACCUCCGGGCACAGGCUGGGGGAUCAAAAUCCCUCCUAGUAUAAGAUAAGGAUGAGUCUGAGACCACCUGAUGAGGCUAAAUGCAUCCAAGUCUCUGGGGCCUGAUAACAGGCAUCCCAGGCUCAGGGCCUUGCUAGAUAUGAGCACAGAUCAGAAGAACUCACUGAGGUCAGCCCUGUGGAGAAGAACUCGGGGAUUCCGGUGGACUAGAAGCUCAAUGUGAGCCAACAGCACAUACUUACAGCCCAGAAAAAUCAAGGAUAUCCUGGGCUGCAUCAAGAGAGGGAGGUGAUUGUCCCCCUAUACUCUGCCCUCAUGAAGCUCUAUCUGGAGCCCUGUACCUGGGGCCCUCAGCACGAGAGAGAAUGUGGAGCUCGUGGAGUGGAGCCAGAGAAAGGCCACAAAGAUGAGCAAAGAGCUGCAGCACCCCUCCUAUCAAGGAAAGUUAAGGGAAUUUUAAAGGAAUUAAGUUUGUCUAUCUCAGAAAAAAAUGCCCCACUGUGGCUUCUAGCACUUGAAGGGCGCUUUAAACAGGAGGGGGACCGACUUUUUACAUGGUCUGGGAAAUACUGGAAGGUGAUGGAAAGCACAGCAAUAAC
Molecule: non-coding RNA, 5748 nt
Organism: Meleagris gallopavo (turkey)
Lineage: Eukaryota; Metazoa; Chordata; Aves; Galliformes; Phasianidae
Source: RefSeq, a predicted model, not a curated record